Molecule: non-coding RNA, 906 nt
Organism: Callithrix jacchus (white-tufted-ear marmoset)
Lineage: Eukaryota; Metazoa; Chordata; Mammalia; Primates; Cebidae
Source: RefSeq, a predicted model, not a curated record
AUGAGAAUAGAAGGCUACCGAGAAGAAACUACAACAGUAAUGGCACAUUUGAAGAAGGUUCUUUUUGCCAAGCAGCAGGCCUGCUGCCUGAGUGCACAGAAGGCCAAUAUUAUGGUUCCCAUCCCUUCUUCUUCUCACUGGGUGGGGCCUCCUGACCUGGGGCCCCAACCACCCCCUACCUGGGCUCUCCGGCUGGUAUUACCUCUGCAUUUGCCUGAACUGGAGCUCCCAGAAGUAGCAAGCAGGCCUGCCAACUUUGCAGCUGCACAGUCUCCAUUCCUGCUGCCCUCAGGCUUGGGAGGGAGUGCAGUCAUCAGGGCUAAUGUGGGCCCCCAGCACAGCACAGCUGCUAUACAGAAAAACAGCCAUUAUGUCUACAGCAUCCUUUCUCUGCAAGUCCUCUUAACUACAAUGGCUUCAACGGUUUUUUAAUACUUUGAGUCUAUACGAACAUUUGUACAUGACAAUCCUGCCUUAAUUUUGCUGUUUGCCCUCGGAUCUCUGGGAUUGAUUUUUGCAUUGAAUUUUAACAGACAUAACUAUCCCCUUAACCUGUACCUAGUUUUUGGAUUUACGUUAUUGGAAGCACUAACUGUGGCUGUUAUUGUUACUUUCUAUGAUGUACAUAUUAUUCUGCAAGCUUACAUAUUGACUACUGGAGUAUUUUUUGGUUUGACUAUGUAUAUUCUGCAAGCUAAGAAGGAUUUCAUCAAAUUAGGGGCAGGGCUGUUUGCUUUUUUGUGGAUUUUGUGCUUGUCAGGAGUCUUCAAGUUAUUUUUUUAUAGUGAGACAGUGGAGCUGGUCUUAGCUGCUGCAGGAGCCCUUCUUUUCUGUGGAUUCAUCAUCCAUGACACACACUCACUGAUGCAUAAACUGUCACCUGAAGAAUACCUAAUUUUGUUAUAA